RNAcentral lists this ribosomal RNA (425 nucleotides) under uncultured bacterium. RNAcentral describes it as "bacterial SSU rRNA". It matches the Rfam family "Bacterial small subunit ribosomal RNA", at positions 355 to 777 of the family's 1533-position model. The record is from RNAcentral.
UGAGGAAUAUUGGUCAAUGGACGAGAGUCUGAACCAGCCAAGUAGCGUGCAGGAUGACGGCCCUAUGGGUUGUAAACUGCUUUUAUGUGGGAAUAAAUAAGAUUACGUGUAAUCUGUUGCAUGUACCACAUGAAUAAGGACCGGCUAAUUCCGUGCCAGCAGCCGCGGUAAUACGGAAGGUCCGGGCGUUAUCCGGAUUUAUUGGGUUUAAAGGGAGCGUAGGCGGUCUGUUAAGCGUGUUGUGAAAUGUAACGGCUCAACCGUUGACUUGCAGCGCGAACUGGCAGUCUUGAGUGCGCAGGAAGUAGGCGGAAUUCGUGGUGUAGCGGUGAAAUGCUUAGAUAUCACGAAGAACUCCGAUUGCGAAGGCAGCUUACUGUAGCGUAACUGACGCUGAAGCUCGAAAGUGCGGGUAUCGAACAGGA